This 497-nucleotide ribosomal RNA is filed under the name uncultured bacterium. Its description in RNAcentral is "partial 16S ribosomal RNA". It matches the Rfam family "Bacterial small subunit ribosomal RNA", at positions 28 to 507 of the family's 1533-position model. The record is from RNAcentral.
GAUGAACGCUGGCGGCGCGCCUAAUACAUGCAAGUCGAGCGAACAGACGAGGAGCUUGCUCCUCUGACGUUAGCGGCGGACGGGUGAGUAACACGUGGAUAACCUACCUAUAAGACUGGGAUAACUUCGGGAAACCGGAGCUAAUACCGGAUAAUAUAUUGAACCGCAUGGUUCAAUAGUGAAAGACGGUUUUGCUGUCACUUAUAGAUGGAUCCGCGCCGCAUUAGCUAGUUGGUAAGGUAACGGCUUACCAAGGCAACGAUGCGUAGCCGACCUGAGAGGGUGAUCGGCCACACUGGAACUGAGACACGGUCCAGACGCCUACGGGAGGCAGCAGUAGGGAAUCUUCCGCAAUGGGCGAAAGCCUGACGGAGCAACGCCGCGUGAGUGAUGAAGGUCUUCGGAUCGUAAAACUCUGUUAUUAGGGAAGAACAAAUGUGUAAGUAACUAUGCACGUCUUGACGGUACCUAAUCAGAAAGCCACGGCUAACUACGUG